This 70-nucleotide transfer RNA is filed under the name Calocaris macandreae. RNAcentral's name for it is "tRNA-Cys". The record is from RNAcentral. Lineage: Eukaryota; Metazoa; Arthropoda; Malacostraca; Decapoda; Axiidae.
AGCUUUUUAUGGUGUAAAUAAACACAUUGGACUGCAAAUCUAAAAAUGUACCUAUGAGGAACUAGAGCUU